This 401-nucleotide ribosomal RNA is filed under the name uncultured bacterium. RNAcentral describes it as "bacterial SSU rRNA". It matches the Rfam family "Bacterial small subunit ribosomal RNA", at positions 355 to 772 of the family's 1533-position model. The record is from RNAcentral.
UAGGGAAUAUUGGACAAUGGGGGAAACCCUGAUCCAGCCAUGCCGCGUGAGUGAUGAAGGCCUUCGGGUUGUAAAGCUCUUUUGCCAGGGAAGAUAUUGACGGUACCUGGAGAAUAAGCACCGGCUAACCUCGUGCCAGCAGCCGCGGUAAUACGAGGGGUGCUAGCGUUGUUCGGAAUCACUGGGCGUAAAGCGUGCGCAGGCGGACUGGAAAGUCAGGGGUGAAAGCCCAGAGCUCAACUCUGGAAUUGCCUUUGAAACUACCAUGUCUGGAGGCCGGGAGAGGAUAGUGGAAUUCCUAGUGUAGAGGUGAAAUUCGUAGAUAUUAGGAGGAACACCAGUGGCGAAGGCGACUGUCUGGACCGGUUCUGACGCUCAAGCACGAAAGCGUGGGGAGCAAA